GAUGAACGCUGGCGGCGUGCCUAAUACAUGCAAGUCGAGCGAACAGACGAGGAGCUUGCUCCUCUGACGUUAGCGGCGGACGGGUGAGUAACACGUGGAUAACCUACCUAUAAGACUGGGAUAACUUCGGGAAACCGGAGCUAAUACCGGAUAAUAUAUUGAACCGCAUGGUUCAAUAGUGAAAGACGGUUUUGCUGUCACUUAUAGAUGGAUCCGCGCCGCAUUAGCUAGUUGGUAAGGUAACGGCUUACCAAGGCAACGAUGCGUAGCCGACCUGAGAGGGUGAUCGGCCACACUGGAACUGAGACACGGUCCAGACUCCUACGGGAGGCAGCAGUAGGGAAUCUUCCGGAAUGGGCGAAAGCCUGACGGAGCAACGCCGCGUGAGUGAUGAAGGUCUUCGGAUCGUAAAACUCUGUUAUUAGGGAAGAACAAAUGUGUAAGUAACUAUGCACGUCUUGACGGUACCUAAUCAGAAAGCCACGGCUAACUACGUG
Molecule: ribosomal RNA, 497 nt
Filed under: uncultured bacterium
Lineage: Bacteria
Description: partial 16S ribosomal RNA
Rfam family: Bacterial small subunit ribosomal RNA
Source: RNAcentral